UAAUUGAAACUAUUGAAACCUAACUUAAUUAAAAAUAUAAAACUGUAAUUAAAAUAUUAAUUCUUAAUUUAUAAUUAAUUUGUGUAAAAUUUAUAAAAUUAUGACUAUGACGCCUCCUCUCUAUUUGUACGCCUCAUGGCAAAGCAUGGCAUGUCCUAACCUAUACAUAAGAUGAAUGUAACUAACCUGUGUUUAUGCAAAUAAAUAUAUCUUGAAUCUUGAAUCUUGAACAACAUCGAUAAGAUUUUUUUAAAUUCUUUAUCCUCCACCAUACGGAAGGGAUAAUAACCCUUGGCGAUCAUAAGCAUCAGCUGCUCGUCCAGUUUCUCCGAUCUGCGCGGAGGCAUCGGCUUUGUGCUUUCAGCAAAGUCCCUUAUUGAGGGCUGUGUAGGAUUGGGAUGUGCAAAUAAUGUUGGAGGUGGAGCCGCCGCUGAUGAUGCUGGCAUCGAUGAUCCAACACUUUCCUCCUCAGGGAUACGACCUCCCACUAUCUCACUGGGCUGCUGUCGUUCAGGCACUAGAGCCACAGUUGGGUGUUUUGUCUUCAUGUGCCGUCCGAGGUUCCCAACAUUGCCAGUGGGAAUUGAAAGUGUAUUUGCACAGAACGCACAUUUUGCCUUUUUUGGUUCUAUCAAGGUGAAGUGGUUCCAAAGAGCACUCCAUUUUCUUUGGGAUGACAUGACCUAGCUUAGUACCUACUAAUUGCCUAACUAACUAACUACCUUAUAACUACUAUUUAUAUGAGUACUAAUUACCUAACUUAAUUAAGUACCAAAAAGUAUUUAUAAAAACAAAUACAAUAAACUACAAAUAAAAUAUUUAAAAUUAUCACUAAACUGAGAAAAUGACUGAAUAUCUAAGUAAUACGUAAUUAAACUAAGAAGGUAAUCACUGCUAACCACUCGAAAUCGAAAGUACGAAGAAAGUAAAAAGAUAAGUAACUACCUAGUUAAACAAACAAAUUGCAUUCAAGGUCAAAAUUCAUGGCACGCGCCAAAAUUCGUAAACAUCCAAUUUCAACCUAAUUACACUUGACUCAUUUUAAAUGCUUAGCCAUAGUGCACUUUAAUUUCUAAAUGCUAAAUAUCAAUUCAGAUUAUUUUUGUAAUAAAGACGUGCUCCCGCGCGUUUCGUUUCUGUUAUUUGGGAUCCGUAGGCAGUGGAGUGGUAGAAGUAAAAAUUAAGACGGGGCUCCCCAUGCCUAUUGCCUAGUAGAACCCAGUAGUAGCAUAAUGAAUUUGUGCCCCUUUUUUAUGAUCACUUACUAGAUAAUAGUAAAAAGUAUGUUUUAAGAUAAAUAAUAGGAAGAUACCUAAUUUCAAAAAAUGGCAUAAGUACCUAUAUAUAUUUUUUAGUUUUAUAAACUCUAUAAAACACAUAUUUUGUCCCGGCGAAAAAUACUCAAUUUUCAAUAUAGUAGGAAGUAUAAAAUAAUUUUAGUAGGAAGAAUCAUUUUAUCAUAUCGCAUAAAUUAUCUAUCUAUACUUACGACAGAACCAUUAUACCGACUCUCACUUGGCCGCUUGGAUCUCUUCAUCUCUGUCUUGUAAAGUCCUAUCGUCUCUUUCGCUCACGACGAUUCACGACGACGAAGACUCGACGAGUAUUGAGUGAGUGAGAUAAGUAUACAUGAUAGAGCAAGAGCGAGUCAAUAGGUAUUUGCCACGAAGUUCGUCGCGGUAUCUCGGUGAAACUCGGAUUUCCAUUCCCAUUUCCUAUGUGAGUAAGUGAGCAAGUGAUAACAAGAUGUAUAUUUGUUUCAAGUGAUUGAAAAGAAAGGUGAGCAAUAUAGGAUGAUCGUAUUCCAUUUUAUCUUUCCCUCGCGAGCUACACAAGUCUACUGUCAAAGCAAAUAAACGUUGAAAGUUGAAUUUCGUUUCGGUUCGGUUUAUUCAUUUCAUCAUUUUCAUCCGAAUAAUUUAACUUAUUCUUGUUGUGUGCGGUUUCAAAGUCAACAUGGACCAGCCGCUGGAAAAAGUGAAACGGCAGUAUCCGUCGGUGGCACAAAAAUUGCGGCUCUCACAAUUGCUGGAAGCAGACGAAGAAUUGCGGAACGGAAAAUUUACAGCUACUUUCUCAAAAAAGACAGCAUCUGAAAGAUGGGAGAAGAUAGCGUUGGAGCUAAACUCGCUCACUGGAGCAAAAAAGUCGGGCAAAGAAUGGCGCACAGUAAGUACAACAGAACUUAGUUUACCAGAUUUUAUCUUUAUGUGCAGGUUUAUUUUUCUUCACAAUGUUUCUCUUCACUAUCCUGUACUCUUUGAAACCAUUGCAUUUUGUUUUUUCAGACUUGGGGAGAUAUGAAAACAUACACAAAAAAAAAGUAUGCGGGACAAAGAAGGUCCAUGCAAAGGACUGGUGGAGGGCCCCCUGAUAUACAGCCGGAGGCGGUAGACCAAAUAAUAUUGUCUACAACAACAUUGAGUCAGCAUUGUCUGGACAUUCAGACAGCCAAGAGUCAAGUGCUAGACUCAUAAACUUUCACCAUGAACCAACAAAUGAUAGUGAAAAUGUCCAAAUUAUAGUGAUUGAACCACCUGCCACCGACCCACCUGCAAUAGAACCCGUACCAGGAACAUCUUCAGAAACUACCGAACCACCUGCCACCGACCCACCUGCAAUGGAACCCGUACCAGGAACAUCUUCAGAAAAUACUCAAAGAACUGGGAGACCAAGGCCUAAAAGAACAGUGGCUCAAAGAAGAUUAGAAAAUAGUUUGCAAGUGGCAGGAACAAUGAAUGAAACUCUAGAAA
Plutella xylostella (diamondback moth) is the source of this 2753-nucleotide non-coding RNA. NCBI's taxonomy places the organism in Eukaryota, Metazoa, Arthropoda, Insecta, Lepidoptera, Plutellidae. The record is from RefSeq and is a predicted model, not a curated record.